This 1837-nucleotide ribosomal RNA is filed under the name metagenome. RNAcentral describes it as "bacterial LSU rRNA". It matches the Rfam family "Bacterial large subunit ribosomal RNA", at positions 1093 to 2925 of the family's 2925-position model. The record is from RNAcentral.
CCAGGAAGUUGGCUUAGAAGCAGCCAUCCUUCAAAGAAAGCGUAAUAGCUCACUGGUCGAGUCCUUCUGCGCGGAAGAUGUAACGGGGCUAAGCUGUUAACCGAAGCCGCGGAUGCGCUGGUUAUCCAGUGCGUGGUAGGGGAGCGUUCUGUAAGUCUGCGAAGGCGGUUCGAGAGGACUGCUGGAGAUAUCAGAAGUGCGAAUGCUGACAUGAGUAACGUUAAAGCAGGUGAAAAGCCUGCUCGCCGUAAGCCCAAGGAUUCCUGCUCUACGUUCAUCGGAGCAGGGUGAGUCGGCUCCUAAGGUCAGGCCGAAAGGCGUAGCCGAUGGGAAUCAGGUUAAUAUUCCUGAACCUGCGUCAGAUGCGAUGGGGGGACGGAGCAUGGAAGAUCAUCCGGGUGUUGGAAGUCCCGGUUGUUUAGCGUAGGAGGUCUGCAGGCAAAUCCGCAGACGCAUCUCCAAGGCAAAGACACGUGCCGCCACGGCGGCGAAGUGAUCGGAAGUGCUUCCAAGAAAAGCCUCUAAGCCCCAGUCUGACGCGGACCGUACCGCAAACCGACACUGGUGGGCGAGCCGAAUAUGCUCAGGCGCUUGAGAGAACUCGGGAGAAGGAACUCGGCAAAUUGACACCGUAACUUCGGAAGAAGGUGUGCCGUAGUACCGUGAGAGGAGAGACACCUUGAGCGGGAAACGGUCUCAGAGAAUAGGUGGCUGCGACUGUUUAUUAAAAACACAGCACUCUGCAAAGUCGAAAGACGACGUAUAGGGUGUGAUGCCUGCCCGGUGCUGGAAGAUUAAUUGAUGGGGUGAGAGCCCUUGAUCGAAGUCCCAGUAAACGGCGGCCGUAACUAUAACGGUCCUAAGGUAGCGAAAUUCCUUGUCGGGUAAGUUCCGACCUGCACGAAUGGCAUAACGAUGGCCACACUGUCUCCUCCCGAGACUCAGUGAAGUUGAAAUGUUUGUGAUGAUGCAAUCUACCCGCGGCUAGACGGAAAGACCCCAUGAACCUUUACUGCAGCUUUGCAUUGAACUGUGAACCGAUUUGUGUAGGAUAGGUGGGAGGCAGAGAAGAGGCCACGCCAGUGGCCUUGGAGCCGACCUUGAAAUACCACCCUGAUUUGUUUGCGGUUCUAACCACGGACAGUGAUCCUGUCUUGGGACCGUGCAUGGUAGGCAGUUUGACUGGGGCGGUCUCCUCCUAAAGGGUAACGGAGGAGUACGAAGGUACGCUAGGUACGGUCGGAAAUCGUGCUGAUAGUGCAAUGGCAAAAGCGUGCUUGACUGCGAGAGCAACAACUCGAGCAGAUGCGAAAGCAGGUCAUAGUGAUCCGGUGGCUCUGAAUGGAAGGGCCAUCGCUCAACGGAUAAAAGGUACUCUGGGGAUAACAGGCUGAUACCGCCCAAGAGUUCAUAUCGACGGCGGUGUUUGGCACCUCGAUGUCGGCUCAUCUCAUCCUGGGGCUGUAGUCGGUCCCAAGGGUAUGGCUGUUCGCCAUUUAAAGAGGUACGUGAGCUGGGUUUAAAACGUCGUGAGACAGUUUGGUCCCUAUCUGCCGUGGGCGUUGGAAGAUUGACGGGGGCUGCUCCUAGUACGAGAGGACCGGAGUGGACUGACCUCUGGUGUACCGGUUGUCACGCCAGUGGCAUCGCCGGGUAGCUAUGUCGGGAAGAGAUAACCGCUGAAAGCAUCUAAGCGGGAAACUUGCCUGAAGAUAAGUCUUCCUGGAGGCUUGACCUCCCUGAAGAGUCGUUCGAGACCAGGACGUUGAUAGGUUGGGUGUGUAAGCGCUGUGAGGCGUUGAGCUAACCAAUACUAAUUGCUCGUGCAGCUUGAUCC